UGGGGAAUGAUUGCACAAUGGGCGCAAGCCUGAUGCAGCAACGCCGCGUGAGGGAUGACGGCCUUCGGGUUGUAAAACCUCUUUUAGUAGGGAAGAAGCGAAAGUGACGGUACCUGCAGAAAAAGCACCGGCUAACUACGUGCCAGCAGCCGCGGUAAUACGUAGGGUGCGAGCGUUGUCCGGAAUUAUUGGGCGUAAAGAGCUCGUAGGCGGUCUGUCGCGUCUGCUGUGAAAACCCGAGGCUCAACCUCGGGCCUGCAGUGGGUACGGGCAGACUAGAGUGCGGUAGGGAGAAUGGAAUUCCUGGCUGUAGCGGUGGAAUGCGCAGAUAUCAGGAGGAACACCGAUGGCGAAGGCAGUUCUCUGGGCCGUAACUGACGCUGAGGAGCGAAAGCGUGGGGAGCGAACAGGAUUAGAUACCCUGGUAGUCCACGCCGUAAACGUUGGGCGCUAGAUGUGGGACCAUUCCACGGUUUCCGUGUCGCAGCUAACGCAUUAAGCGCCCCGCCU
This 510-nucleotide ribosomal RNA is filed under the name uncultured bacterium. Its description in RNAcentral is "partial 16S ribosomal RNA". It matches the Rfam family "Bacterial small subunit ribosomal RNA", at positions 355 to 874 of the family's 1533-position model. The record is from RNAcentral.